Long non-coding RNA from Ictidomys tridecemlineatus (thirteen-lined ground squirrel), 436 nucleotides. RefSeq lists it as uncharacterized. Lineage: Eukaryota; Metazoa; Chordata; Mammalia; Rodentia; Sciuridae. The record is from RefSeq and is a predicted model, not a curated record.
UACACUGCUGUGGUUUAAGUCACCCGGUCUGUGGCACUUUGCUACGGCAGCUGAGCAGACUGACAGAGAUGGGAAUGUGAAGCCUGAGAUGGGAGAAGGACUGACCCAGGUCUCUGCAAGCUGAAGGUGGAGCUGAGCUGGGAGCCUCAUCUGCGGAUCCCCAGGACGGAUCACGUAUCCUCGCACCAGCCCCUCUGCCCUGGCUUCUCGGGCAGUAGCAGCUGUUUCUAGCCUAGCCUGGUCCCCUUGGGACCUCACCAAGCCAAAAAUGCCUGUGGCCUCAAAGGGAGCUGGGAGGGAAGGCACGUCGCACUACAGGAAGGACCGUUUCUCUCUUCCAAAAGAGCUGGGACCUCAGCACGUCCGACAAGACUGAGCUCGGGAGCCAAUCGCUGCACGGGGAGCCAGUAAUUAAUAAAAAUGGGUAAUGAUAGAC